GAUGAAGAACGUAGCGAAAUGCGAUAAGUAGUGUGAAUUGCAGAAUUCAGUGAAUCAUCGAAUCUUUGAACGCACAUUGCGCCCCUUGGUAUUCCAUGGGGCAUACCUGUUCGAGCGUCAUUUGUACCUUCAAGCUCUGCUUGGUGUUGGGUGUUUGUCCUUGCUCUAGUGGCGGGACUCGCCUUAAAGUAAUUGGCAGCCAGUGUUUUGGUUUUGAAGCGCAGCACAAGUCGCGAUUCAAGUCUAUACGCUAGUUUCCACAAGUCUUUUAUCACUUUUGACCUCGGAUCAGGUAGGGAUACCCGCUGAACUUAAGCAUAUCAAUAAGCGGAGGA
RNAcentral lists this unclassified non-coding RNA (335 nucleotides) under soil metagenome. Its description in RNAcentral is "partial contains 5.8S ribosomal RNA, internal transcribed spacer 2, and large subunit ribosomal RNA". The stretch from base 1 to 120 matches the Rfam family "5.8S ribosomal RNA", at positions 35 to 154 of the family's 154-position model. The record is from RNAcentral.